RNAcentral lists this transfer RNA (72 nucleotides) under Camelus bactrianus (Bactrian camel). It matches the Rfam family "tRNA". From Rfam's summary of the family: Transfer RNA (tRNA) molecules are approximately 80 nucleotides in length. RNAcentral also lists the same sequence under 1 other name. The record is from Rfam by way of RNAcentral. Lineage: Eukaryota; Metazoa; Chordata; Mammalia; Artiodactyla; Camelidae.
GAGGGUGUAGCUCAGUGGUGGAGUGCCUUCUUAGCAUGCACGAGGUCCUGGGUUCAAUCCUCAGUACCUCCA